Molecule: ribosomal RNA, 509 nt
Filed under: uncultured bacterium
Lineage: Bacteria
Description: partial 16S ribosomal RNA
Rfam family: Bacterial small subunit ribosomal RNA (bases 20-326)
Source: RNAcentral
GACGAACGCUGGCGGCGUGCUUAACACAUGCAAGUCGAACGGAAAGGCCCUGCUUUUGUGGGGUGCUCGAGUGGCGAACGGGUGAGUAACACGUGAGUAACCUGCCCUUGACUUUGGGAUAACUUCAGGAAACUGGGGCUAAUACCGGAUAGGAGCUCCUGCUGCAUGGUGGGGGUUGGAAAGUUUCGGCGGUUGGGGAUGGACUCGCGGCUUAUCAGCUUGUUGGUGGGGUAGUGGCUUACCAAGGCUUUGACGGGUAGCCGGCCUGAGAGGGUGACCGGCCAGUGGGGGACGGGCGGGCCGCGCAGGCGCGGAGGGGCGGGGGGGGUGGGGCAGAGCGCACGGGGGGCGGACGGCGGGGCGGGGAGGGCCGGGUGGGGGCGGGCGGCGUGCGUGGGUUACACCGCUUUCGCGUGGGGCGAAGCGGGGGUGACGGGGAUGGGAAAGGAGGCACCGGCUAACUAGGGGGCAGAGGCCGGAGGAAUACGCGGAAGAGCACCGGUCUGAAC